UUUUCUUACUUGAAGUUGCAAGUUUACAGCUGAAACGUGGCGCUAUCUGAUGCCAUCUCUAGCUCGGACAGCAAUGUCUUUUAUUAUUCUCCUGCCUCCGCUACCUGCCUGCUUCCGCUCACGAGAACGGAGGAAUGAGAACAACUCGGGAUGCGACGGAGUCGUUCACGUGACCGUCUCAGCACCUAGUGGCACACUGUAGACCAUCCCAGCGCCAAUGGAGACUUCCCUGAACAACUCAAGCUGAUGUCACAUGUGUAGAUUCCUGUUAAUUCACUUAGUUGUAGUUUCUGGUCUAGGAAGAUAGUCUAAUCUCUGGUCUCAGAUGGGGAUGCCUCCCUGGUCUGCCCUAGACACCUCUGAUCUUUCUUCCUUCCUUUCUUCCUUUCUUUCUUCCUUUCUUAGACUUAUUGUAUUUUAUGUAUAUGAGUAUUUUGUCUGUGUACAUAUUGUUAGGACCUAGGUAACUAUUACCUAUUUAAGCUUUUCAUUUUGUACUGUUACUGUGUUGCUUCUGCUGUUACGGAAAGUUUCUAAUUUCCUGUUAAGGAAACUUUCUAAUUCCAAGUUGAUUAUAUAUUCUGCUAUGCUUUGUGCCCUUGGAACACAAUCAGGAUAGAAGUCAGUAGAACUGUUUUGUAUAGUUACCCAUAAUAAGCUUGGACCCAAACCAACUACCCAACAGCCCUUCCUGCACCUAUGUAUAAGCUGGUUUUGUUUUUGUUUUUGGAGACAGGGUUUCUCUGUAUAGCCUAGCUGUCCUAGAACUCACUCUGUAGACCAGGCUGGCCUCGAACUCAGAAAUCCACCUGCCUCUGCCUCCCAAGUGCUGGGAUUAAA
This is a long non-coding RNA of Apodemus sylvaticus (European woodmouse), 840 nucleotides long. RefSeq lists it as uncharacterized. The record is from RefSeq and is a predicted model, not a curated record. The transcript has 3 exons. Lineage: Eukaryota; Metazoa; Chordata; Mammalia; Rodentia; Muridae.